AUGAUGGAAAGGGGCCUACUUCCCGUUAUUAUAUGUCGGAAUGCACCUCCUAUUUCUCAUCUCCAGUUCGCGGAUGAUUCAUUGUUAUUUUUCCAAGCAAGUGGACCUCAGGCAAAUAUUAUCAAGGAUGUUUUGAACACUUACGAGGCGGCGACGGGACAACUUAUCAAUCCGUCCAAGUGCUCCAUCCUGUUUUCUGAUAAUUGUUUGACAGCUGUGUCCCAAGAAGCGAAGAAUAUUUUGGAGAUCACACAGGAAAUAUUUGAUCCAAAGUAUCUUGGCCUACCGGUCCCCGAAGGCAGAAUGCAUAAAGGAAGAUUUCAAACUGUGCAGGCUAGAUUGAGUAAGCGAUUGGUCGACUGGAGCGAGAGGUAUAUGGCGUCCUCUAGUAAAGAAAUUCUUAUAAAAGCCAUGGCCUAG
Molecule: ribosomal RNA, 420 nt
Filed under: Triticum aestivum (bread wheat)
Lineage: Eukaryota; Viridiplantae; Streptophyta; Magnoliopsida; Poales; Poaceae
Description: partial small subunit ribosomal RNA
Source: RNAcentral